AACGUUUAUGAAUCCGGGCUGAGAUUUCGUCAGACACCAACCUAUUAUGACUGAUCAGACUUCCAAGAUAAAUGAAGUU
This 79-nucleotide microRNA precursor is filed under the name Schistosoma margrebowiei. RNAcentral's name for it is "mir-3492 microRNA precursor family". It matches the Rfam family "mir-3492 microRNA precursor family". The record is from Rfam by way of RNAcentral. Lineage: Eukaryota; Metazoa; Platyhelminthes; Trematoda; Strigeidida; Schistosomatidae.